This 394-nucleotide unclassified non-coding RNA is filed under the name fungal sp. RNAcentral describes it as "partial internal transcribed spacer region". The stretch from base 1 to 46 matches the Rfam family "Eukaryotic small subunit ribosomal RNA", at positions 1786 to 1831 of the family's 1831-position model. The record is from RNAcentral. Lineage: Eukaryota; Fungi.
AAGUCGUAACAAGGUCUCCGUAGGUGAACCUGCGGAGGGAUCAUUAACACGUCCAAUACGUAAACAACCGCGAACUGUUCUGUUCCGUCUCAAUUAUCCAACUCAAAGCUCGCAGAAGACAUUGGCGCCGUAUGAUGCAUCCGUUCUGGCAACAGUUCGGGGUCACACAUUGUACGGUUCUGCGAUGCCUGCUCCGGGGUAAAACCGCUUGGCUCAUUCCAGCGGCACUCGGAGAAUGGUUUUUGGGAGGUCGAUCGCCAAAUGUGUAACAAAUUAACCCCUAUAACACGAUGUCCUAAAUUUCCCGACUCGUCUGCGGGGGAUAACGAACCCGUAAGCGAAGGAAGUAAAAACAAACAAUGUACAACUCUUGUCAACGGAUGUCUAGGUUCUC